AACGAACGCUGGCGGCAUGCCUAACACAUGCAAGUCGAACGAGACCUUCGGGUCUAGUGGCGCACGGGUUCGUAACGCGUGGGAACCUUCCCUUAGGUUCGGAAUAACUCCCCGAAAGGGGUGCUAAUACCGGAUAAUGUCUUCGGACCAAAGAUUUUUCGCCUUUGGUUGGGCCCGCGUUGGAUUAGCUAGUUGGUAGGGUAAAAGCCUACCAAGGCGACGAUUCAUAGGUGGUCUGAGAGGAUGAUCAGCCACACUGGGACUGAGACACGGCCCAGACUCCUACGGGAGGCGGCAGUGGGGAAUAGUGGACAGUGGGCGGAGGCCUGAUCCAGCAAUGCCGGGUGAAUGAUGAAGGCCUUGGGGUUGUAAAGCGCUUUUACCCGGGAUGAUAAUGACGGUACCGGGAGAAUAAGCUCCGGCUAACUCCGUG
Molecule: ribosomal RNA, 433 nt
Filed under: uncultured bacterium
Lineage: Bacteria
Description: partial 16S ribosomal RNA
Rfam family: Bacterial small subunit ribosomal RNA
Source: RNAcentral